AUUGAACGCUGGCGGCAUGCUUUACACAUGCAAGUCGAACGGUAACAGGGAGCUUGCUCCGCUGACGAGUGGCGAACGGGUGAGUAAUAUAUCGGAACGUACCCAAGAGUGGGGGAUAACGUAGCGAAAGUUACGCUAAUACCGCAUACGAUCUAUGGAUGAAAGCAGGGGACCUUCGGGCCUUGUGCUCCUGGAGCGGCCGAUAUCUGAUUAGCUAGUUGGUGAGGUAAAGGCUCACCAAGGCGACGAUCAGUAGCUGGUCUGAGAGGACGACCAGCCACACUGGAACUGAGACACGGUCCAGACUCCUACGGGAGGCAGCAGUGGGGAAUUUUGGACAAUGGGCGCAAGCCUGAUCCAGCAAUGCCGCGUGAGUGAAGAAGGCCUUCGGGUUGUAAAGCUCUUUUGUCAGGGAAGAAACGGCUGUGGCUAAUAUCCACGGCUAAUGACGGUACCUGAAGAAUAAGCACCGGCUAACUACGUGCCAGCCGCCGCCGUAA
Molecule: ribosomal RNA, 500 nt
Filed under: uncultured bacterium
Lineage: Bacteria
Description: partial 16S ribosomal RNA
Rfam family: Bacterial small subunit ribosomal RNA
Source: RNAcentral